Molecule: ribosomal RNA, 1472 nt
Filed under: metagenome
Description: bacterial LSU rRNA
Rfam family: Bacterial large subunit ribosomal RNA
Source: RNAcentral
CAAAUCGGAUCAGGGUUAGUCGGAACCUAAGGCUAAUCCGAACGGAAAUGCCGAUGGCAAACAGGUUAAUAUUCCUGUACUGGUGCAAUCAGUGAAGGGACGACGAAGGAGUGAAAGGUCUGCGUACUGACGGAAAUGUACGUUAAAGCCAGUAGAUUCAGGUGCUGUAGGUAAAUCCGCAGCGCUUACCGAUGGUGACAGUACCGAGAGUCUUCGGACAAUCGGAUAAUGACCCUAAGCAUACUUCCAAGAAAACUCUCUAAACUUAUGAUUGUACUGCCCGUACCGUAAACCGACACAGGUAGUCGAGAAGAAGAUUCUAAGGUGCUCGAGUGAUUCAUGGCUAAGGAACUCGGCAAAUUAACCCUGUAACUUCGGGAAAAAGGGUGCCCUCUUCGGAGGGUCGCAGAGAAAUGGCUCAGGCGACUGUUUAACAAAAACACGUGGCUAUGCUAAAUCGAAAGAUGAUGUAUAUGGCCUGACACCUGCCCGGUGCUGGAAGGUUAAGAGGAGAUGUCAGUCGCAAGACAAAGCAUUGAAUCGAAGCCCCAGUAAACGGCGGCCGUAACGAUAACGGUCCUAAGGUAGCGAAAUUCCUUGUCGGGUAAGUUCCGACCUGCACGAAUGGUGUAACGAUCUGAGCGCUGUCUCAGUCAUGAGCUCGGUGAAAUUGUAGUAGCGGUGAAGAUGCCGCUUACCCGCAACGGGACGGAAAGACCCCGUGCACCUUCACUACAACUUUGCAUUGAUUCUGGAUAAAUGAUGUGUAGGAUAGGUGGGAGACUUUGAAGCGGUGGCGCUAGCCAUCGUGGAGUCAACCUUGAAAUACCACCCUUCAUUUAUUCGGGAUCUAAUCCCGCUCAAGCGGGAGACAUUGCAUGGUGGGUAGUUUGACUGGGGUGGUCGCCUCCAAAAGAGUAACGGAGGCUUUCAAAGGUACCCUCAGCACGCUUGGUAACCGUGCGCGGAGUGCAAUAGCAUAAGGGUGCUUGACUGUGAGACUUACAAGUCGAGCAGGUACGAAAGUAGGAUAUAGUGAUCCGGUGGUUCCGCAUGGAAGGGCCAUCGCUCAAAGGAUAAAAGGUACGCCCGGGAUAACAGGCUGAUCUCCCCCAAGAGCUCACAUCGACGGGGAGGUUUGGCACCUCGAUGUCGGCUCGUCACAUCCUGGGGCUGGAGAAGGUCCCAAGGGUUCGGCUGUUCGCCGAUUAAAGUGGCACGCGAGCUGGGUUCAGAACGUCGUGAGACAGUUCGGUCCCUAUCUGUUGUGGGCGCUGGAAGUUUGAGAGGACCUGACUCUAGUACGAGAGGACCGAGUCGGACGUACCUCUAGUGGACCUGCUGUGGCGCCAGCUGCAUCGCAGGGUAGCUAUGUACGGUUGAGAUAAGCGCUGAAAGCAUCUAAGCACGAAACUCGCCUCAAGAUGAGACUUCCUUUAAGGGUCGUCGGAGACUACGACGUUGAUAGGUUG